CUUCACCGAGCCCAGCCACAGGGGCCGCUCGCGGUCCUUGCCGUAGGUGGUGAGCAGGGCCUGGGCCUC
Molecule: non-coding RNA, 69 nt
Rfam family: ASpks TB sRNA
Source: Rfam